GUACACAGUAAAAAAUGCUGGAUUAUUUUCAUAACCCAACUUCUGGGUAAGAGAUGCUGGGUCAUAUGUUGGGUUACUUUGACCCAAUAUUGGUUCAAAAGUAGUGACCCAGCGGUUGGGUUGACUUUUUUUUUUUGUUUUAAUGAACUCCACUUAACUGAUUCUGUUAGGUUUCAGGUUCAGUUGACUCAACACUUUACCCAAUUGGUUGGGUCAAAUACAGUUUGACCCAACCAAUUGGGUAAAAAUCCAUUGCCCUCUUCACAAACCUCCAUUUUCAACUGGACUGUGACCUGAUCAGACAACACUGGAUUUCUCAAUUCAAAUAAAACAUGAUCUGAAAGAUGGAUGAGUUUGUAAAACAGAAGCUGACUGAAUGGAAACUUUCUGACCUAAUCCCUGCUUUUGAAGCUGAAAACAUUGAUGAAGAAAGCUUCUUUCUUUUGGAUGCUAACUGCCUGACAUCCCUGAUUCCUCACCUUGGUCCUCGUCUGAAAUUUCAACGUCAUUUUGCAAAAUUUCUUGAGAACAUCCGUGAGAUCCUCAGUGCCUCCCCUGAAGGUAGACCUGUGGUUAUCAGUCUUGAUGGAAAUCAGCAUAUAUCCACACCUGAUGGAUCAAUAUGGAGAAAAGUGAGUAUUUCUUGUAAAAACUGGAUCAAUUAGGUUGUUUUUGUGACAUUUUGCUCUUGGUGAGAACAUUAACGGCAUUGUGCAGUGCUCACCUAAGUAAAAUUUCUCCAGUAAGAAGUCUUAAAGUAUAUGUUGGGCUAAUAAAAACUGGAUUUUUUGGAAAUUGUUUGUGUUUUAAGGUUUCUGCUCUAUGUUUUCAUCUUACAAUAACUAAUUAAAAUAAAAUAUUUUACUUGCCUGUCUUACUGAGUGUAAUUU
Molecule: long non-coding RNA, 890 nt
Organism: Xiphophorus couchianus (Monterrey platyfish)
Lineage: Eukaryota; Metazoa; Chordata; Actinopteri; Cyprinodontiformes; Poeciliidae
Exons: 4
Source: RefSeq, a predicted model, not a curated record